CUGAUUGGAGUAGUAGGAUUGACAAAUGAUAUCCCACUGAGAGUUGCUCGUCUUUUCCCGUUAAUUGUUACCAGAGGCUUAUUUUUCAACACGUAAACAUCGGUCACAUUGAUUGAGCCAUAUCUGAAUGAGCCUUGAGGGUUGGGACGUGCACCACUUGCAGAAACAUUCCAUCUGCACAGUUUGACCGUAGAAUCCUCACAGUGAAUUAUAACGAGCAAAGUUUAUAAUAAUGUGAAAAUUCUCUAAUACAGAAAUGCAAUUCCGUUAAAAUUUGAUUGCAAGGUUAUAAUACAAUAUUUUCCUUUGGAGCAGCAAGGAAUAAGUAGCUUAUUUGAGGUCCUAAUUUUUCAAAAUUUUGAAGCACACAGUACUUUUUUCUCAAAUCCCAGUUCCUUUUCUAUUUAUAGGGAAAGAUGAAAUUAUUAAUCAGAGCACUCAUUAAGUUCAGAAUUGCUAAACAAUGCAGUAAGGCAUUUUAACCACCAUAGAAGCCAACCUGAUGGAUCUUGCUUGGUUCAUUGAGAAGGUUUUGUCAAACUCAUCAUUAGGUGCCUCUGGAAGGGGACCCUUUGCCUUCCCCUUGGAAUUUGUGUAAUGCAAGAUUGCAACACCAGUAACCCUUUUCCACUGCGAUUCAUUCACAAACCUUGCACUAGCUACAAUGUAGUAAUCAGUACUUGCGUUCUGAUCCAUUGUC
This 700-nucleotide long non-coding RNA is filed under the name Populus trichocarpa (black cottonwood). RNAcentral's name for it is "long non-coding RNA (PTRI_LNC000119)". Lineage: Eukaryota; Viridiplantae; Streptophyta; Magnoliopsida; Malpighiales; Salicaceae. The record is from RNAcentral.